This 52-nucleotide microRNA precursor is filed under the name Pteropus alecto (black flying fox). Its description in RNAcentral is "mir-1302 microRNA precursor family". It matches the Rfam family "mir-1302 microRNA precursor family". RNAcentral also lists the same sequence under 1 other name. The record is from Rfam by way of RNAcentral. Lineage: Eukaryota; Metazoa; Chordata; Mammalia; Chiroptera; Pteropodidae.
AUUUCAGUCUAAGUAGGUCCCAUGCAAUAUUUGGGACAUACUUAAGCUAAAA